RNAcentral lists this ribosomal RNA (1258 nucleotides) under uncultured bacterium. RNAcentral's name for it is "bacterial SSU rRNA". It matches the Rfam family "Bacterial small subunit ribosomal RNA", at positions 147 to 1374 of the family's 1533-position model. The record is from RNAcentral.
CUUUGCGAAAGUGACGGUAAUACCUGAUGAAGUCCUCGAGUGGCAUCGCUUGAGGAUCAAAGGUGGGGAUCCGCAAGGACCUGCCGGACUGGGAUCGGCCCAUUUCCUAUCAGCUAGUUGGUGAGGUAACGGCUCACCAAGGCUACGACGGGUAGCGGGACUGAGAGGUUGGCCCGCCACAUCGGGACUGAGACACUGCCCGGACACCUACGGGUGGCUGCAGUAACGAAUCUUCCGCAAUGGGCGAAAGCCUGACGGAGCAAUGCCGCGUGGAGGACGAAGUCCUUCGGGAUGUAAACUCCUUUUCAAGUGACGAAAACUUUGGCGUGCUAAUACCACGUCGAGAUGAUCGAUCUUGGAAUAAGCCCCGGCUAAUUCCGUGCCAGCAGCCGCGGUAAUACGGGAAGGGGCGAGCGUUGUUCGGAAUCACUGGGCUUAAAGCGGGUGUAGGCGGGCCUUUCAAGUACCUUGUGAAAUCCCUCGGCUCACCGGGGAACGGCUGGGUAUACUGUUAGGCUUGAGGCUGAUAGGGUGCCUGGAACUCUAGUGGAGCCGUGAUAUGCGUUGAUAUCUAGAGGAACGCCUGUGGCGAAGGCGGGGCACUGGGUCAGUCCUGACGCUAAGACCCGAAAGCGUAGGGAGCAAACGGGAUUAGAUACCCCGGUAGUCUACGCCGUAAACGAUGCGCACGAGGUUCAUUGGCCUCUGACGGUUGGUGGGCCGAAACAAAAGUGAUAAGUGCGCCGCCUGGGGAGUACGGCCGCAAGGCUAAAACUCAAAGGAAUUGACGGGGGCUCACACAAGCGGUGGAGGAUGUGGCUUAAUUCGAGGCAACGCGAAGAACCCUACCUGGGUUAGACAUGAACGGAUUAGCUCUGUGAAAGCAGAGUAACGCGGCUUGCCGUGGAACGUUCACAGGUGCUGCAUGGCUCUCGUCAGCUCGUGUCGUGAGAUGUAGCCGCUAAGUCCCCUAACGAGCGAAACCCUUGUCGUUAGUUGCCAGCGGGUAAUGCCGGGCACUUUAGCGAGACUGCCGGUGUCAAACCGGAGGAAGGCGGGGACGACGUCAAGUCAUCAUGGCCCUUAUGCCCAGGGUUGCACACGUCCUACAAUGGGAUGGUACAGAGCGAUGCAAAACCGCGAGGUCGAGCAAAUCGCAAAAAACUUCCCUCAGUUCGGAUUGCAGGCUGCAACUCGCCUGCAUGAAGUUGGAAUCGCUAGUAAUCGCGUAUCAGCUAUGACGCGGUGAAUAUGUUCC